RNAcentral lists this small nuclear RNA (22 nucleotides) under Arabidopsis thaliana (thale cress). Its description in RNAcentral is "snRNA_09424". Lineage: Eukaryota; Viridiplantae; Streptophyta; Magnoliopsida; Brassicales; Brassicaceae. The record is from RNAcentral.
UAAAAAUAUAUUCAAAUUACUU